This is an RNA transcript of Zingiber officinale, 5225 nucleotides long. It is a transcript of the gene named protein HUA2-LIKE 2-like, with no coding region annotated. Lineage: Eukaryota; Viridiplantae; Streptophyta; Magnoliopsida; Zingiberales; Zingiberaceae. The record is from RefSeq and is a predicted model, not a curated record. The transcript has 10 exons.
AAUCGCACCCCUCCCCACAAUCAGACCCACCAAAAAGGCAAGAAAAAAGAUCUCGCCGCUUUGCUUCCGCCUCUCUUCUCCUCUCCUACCCACACAAACACAAUUAGAGCCAGCGUCCGGUUCGGUUGCCUUUUCGUCGCCCCUUCUGCCACAAAUUCGCCGCCGCCGCCUCACUUCCCCUCCCCUUCACUUCCCUUCCCUUCCCUUCCCUUCCGUCGCAAGCCGCCGAUUCGAUGCCUGUGCACCCCUCGGUCGCCGCCGCCAGACCUGCCUUCUCGUUCUUGAAAAGCCGACAAGAGAGGAGGGGGGAACCGCUCCCUCGGCAUCCCUCAUCCAGAUCCCGGAAGCAGUUGCCCUAGCAACCCUAGGCGCUCUAGGGUACUGCGAAGCUCUUCCUCGCUAUGGGCUCCAGCAGGAAAAAAGGAUCUGGAAGGGCGGCCGCCGCCGCCGCCUCCUCCUCCCAGCGCCAAUGGAAGGUCGGCGAUCUCGUUCUUGCCAAGAUGAGGGGAUUCCCGGCAUGGCCCGCUGUGAUUAGCGAACCAGAGAGCUGGGGCUUCUCCGCUGUGAGUAAAAAGUUGUUCGUUUACUUCUACGGAACCAAACAAGUUGCCUUCUGCAAUUGCACCGACGUUGAAACUUUCACUGAAGAGAAAAAGAAAACUCUUUUGCUUAAGCGUCAAGGUAAAGGGGCUGAUUUUGUGCGAGCACUUGAUGAGAUAAUUGAUGUUUAUGAAACUUCGAAGAAGCAGAAUGCAGAUCAAUCUAUUUCAGGAGAUGAUGAAGAUGAGUCAUGUGGUGAAGAUAUAAACUGUGUAAGAACCACAAGCAAUUCUUCUAAUUUUAAUGACAGUUUGGAGUUUCACUCACAUAUAGCCUCCAACUGUGAGCUAGAAUCUGCAUGUAACUUAAUAGAAAACACUAAUAGGAUCAACUUUGAAGAAAUUUCUGCAAACUCAACUGCUGAUGAUUCACAGAAGAAUGUGCAAAUUCAAAAGUUGUCCAUCCUCGAUCAAAUUAGACAAGACCCGUUAGUCACUAGUUCUUCGAGGAAGAAAAGAUUGAAAGAUUCUUCUCAUAAAAGUUCGCUCUUGCCAAAAGUUGUGCCAACACUUAAGAGAUCAAGGAGUUCUUUACUUGCUGAUUCUUCAAAAGCUCUUGAGUCCUCUUCGGUGUCUGAUUCUGAUCUAUCUGGUACUUUUGUUCCUGAUACUAGCCAAAAUGACAAUCCAGAAAACAAUAACAAACAUGGUCUGUCACACUCUGCUAGUUCAAAUGGUUGUUGCAUGGAAGUUGCUGCUGAUGUAGCAUUAAAACAUGAGUUCAACAAGUUCACUCGAGGCAUUGUAGACUCUGAUUGUCAUCUUGAUGCCUCUACAGACCAAUACUUGGAUAAUAAAGAAAGGUCAAAUAAAAAUGACAAAUUUUGCUUGAAAUCUCCAGUCAAUAAGAAAAGGAAAACUGAUCGAGAAAAGGCUACAGAAAAUUCAGAAACUAAAAAAAAUGAUUUACCAGUUGUCCUUAGUAGUAGUUCACCCAAUUUGUUUGUUGAAAUGAAAGAAAUAAUUGGCACUGGAGAUGGAGAUGAACACCUUCCUUUGGUGAAAAGAGCAAGGGUUAGAAUGGGCAAGCCACUAGAGGUUGGGAGACAGCAUGGUGAGCUUGUUGGUAAUGAUGAGAAUUUGCACACGUCAAAGGUGAAUAAAUUUGAUGGAGGUGAUAUGCCAUCUAGUUCAGGAAAUGAUGAUGAUCUUAAUGGGGCGUUCGUUAAGGAAGAGUUAAAUAAUUCAUCAAUAAAUAAUAACUCUCCUACAAGAACAAACCAUAUUUUCUGGACGACCAAGUAUCAUUUGAAUGUUUCUUCUCUGGAUGUUGAAGCAGCUUUGCCUCCAUCAAAACGCCUGCAUCGUGCCCUAGAAGCUAUGUCUGCUAAUACUGCUCAAUCUAUGAAUGAUUUUCCUGAAUCAUCAAAGGCCACAAAAUCUACUGCAUCUCUGGAUGUUUGUGAGACAAAGGCAACAAUGGCCUUUAAUUUUUCUUCUGAUGCAAAGAUUGCCAUCCCUGAGAUGUUGCAGAGUACACAUGCUUCUGAUUGUCAUGUACAUGCAACUAAUGAAUCAACCUUGCCAUUGCAGAAUAUAAUCAAAUCUCCAUUAGCUUCUAAAGUAGAGUCUUGUGAGAUUUGCCCUGAAAUUGUCAGCGACCCACACACUGACUGUGAUGAAAUUGUGGGGGACCUUGAUAAAUGCGAUGGUACUAUGUCCAAAUUCACAGUUGUUACUACUGAAAAGAAAAGUCCACAGGCUUAUUCUUUGAAAUUUAUAGAAGACGAAGUAAGAGUUUCCUCCACUAAAGAUAUGUCUGAUAAAGUAUGCUUCCACUUAAACAAUUCAAAUAAAGACUUAAAGGGAAACAAGGAAGGAAGAGGUAUUGUGAGGAUGAAUGAGGUUAACAGGGAUGACACUUCUGAUUCCAAUAUGCACAAGGAUGGUUCUCUUUUGACUGCCCAAGAGGGUCUUCAUCCUUUUCGUCAUGAUGAAGCUGUUUCAAUUGUAUCAGCUACAGAUGUGGUCUCAAUGACAAGCAGUGCUUCUGUGGCAACAAGGGCUUCUAGUUUUCAGUCUGAUGAAGACUGUCAAACUGGUAACAUGCAUUGUUCUUCAAAAGAAACUUCAAAUGGUAGAUGCAGUUCUCCAGAUUUGACACCCAUGAAAGAAUUGAUUGCUGCAGCUCAGUUCAAGCGAACUUUGUCUCACUGCACUUCAUUUACUCAUAACUAUUUAGACAGUAAACUCAUUCCAGAUACAGUAGUAAGCCCAUCCCUAGUCCACAAACAAGAUUCUCCCGGGCAGGGUAUACCUUGUAAUGGUUUGGCCGACCAUAAAUUGACUGUUGAUGAUGGGAUUCAUGCUCUCCAGAAUGACGGCAGAGGUCCUCAUGUUAGUAUUCGGCUGAAAGGAACAAACAAAUCUAUCCGUCCAGAAGCAAGUGCAGCAAGGAAAACUUUUGAAGCUUUGUUGUGGACUUUAUCAAGAACAAAAGAGAGUAUAGGCAGAGCAACACGUCUUGCAAUUGAUUGUGCCAAAUAUGGAAUGGCUAGAGAGGUAAUUGAACUAAUACUCCAGUAUCUAGAAAGAGAACAAAGCUUGCACAAAAGGGUAGAUCUUUUCUUCCUUGUGGAUUCAAUUACUCAAUGUUCUCACAUUCAGAAAGGUGGAGCUAGCGAUGUUUACCCUUCUCUUGUCCAAUCAGUGCUUCCACGCCUUUUGUCCUUUGCUGCCCCUCGUGGAAAUGCUGCAUCAGAGAAUCGUAGGCAAUGCCUUAAGGUAUUGAGAUUAUGGUUUGAAAGAAAAACCUUGCCAGAAUCAGUGGUUCGUUAUCACAUGCGAGAACUUGAUUCUGCAAACGAAUUUCCAUUUGGCUCUUCUUCUCGACGUCCAUUGAAAACAGAGAGGGCUAUUAAUGAUCCUAUCAGGGAUAUGGAGGGAAUGCUUGUUGAUGAGUAUGGAAGCAACACAAAUUUUCAACUUCCUUGCCUGCUGCGAGCUAAUGUGCUUGAAGAUGAUGGAAAUACUUCUGAUGAAAAAAGCUUUGAGGCUGUCACACCUGAAGGAUCUGCUCCAAUUGAUCAAAAGGCACAUGCUUCCUCUGAGAAGAAUCGACAUGUAUUGGAAGAUGUUGAUGUUGAACUUGAGAUGGAGGAUGUAUCUCCUCCCUGUGAAGAUAGCAUAAACUCAACCUGUCCUGUUGCAAGUGCUGCUGAUUUUAAUUCUCAUCAUCAAGCUAAUCAUCAAUAUCCAUUGCCCUUUGCUCCUCCACUUCCAGAUGCAAAACCACCAUCCCCACCCCCGCUGCCAUCAUCUCCUCCUCCAGUUUCUUCUUGUUCAGAUGGACAUGGUCUUGCCUCACAGUGUCAUUUAAGAAGUCAGAGCCUUAAUGAUGCUGCUGAUUUACAUUCUACUGGAAAUGCCCUUAACAUGCAAAGCCAACAGCCUCAUCUUUUUACCCAACAACAUACGAAUCAACAUGAUAGUUUGAUGCCUAAGCCUGCAUCAUAUUAUGCUCCCAAUUAUGGUAGUACUCCUGGUCAGAUGCCUCCACCAACUGUAUCUGCUUCUUAUGGAACUACUACUCAUCCAUUUGUACAUUCUCAGAAUAGUUUGCAGCCCUCAGUUAGCACUACUUUGACAGAUACAGUUUACCACGUGCAGCCGCCUCCACCAACAGUUUCAAAUCACUUUUCUUAUGUUCAAGCUGAACCUCAGCAAAGACCACAAAUGUGUGGUAAUUAUCCUCUCCCUGAGAGAUAUCAGUAUAUACAGGAUAAUAUCCAUCGAGGGAAUUUUCAUUCUGAUCAAGCUACAGGUAGGCAGUUUCAAAAUGAGAUAGUAGCAAGAAGCAAUUUUUCUCCAGCUACUCAGUCUGGUACUGUGUUCAUCUGUGGUUUGAGUACCAUUGUAUUUUUUCUGAAGAAAAUUUUAUAUUGUAUACCUGAUUUUUUUUUCCUACCUUCCUCCCCUUUUAAAGGUUCAUCCGUCUAUGGCAAUAUUGAAACACCAUCUGCUUCUCUGCCCCAUUAUGGCCAUCCACCAGAACCUCCUCCAAUUGCAUGUAGUGGUUGGUCACGUCCACCAAUGUCAAAUUUCUCUGCACCAACUUCAAGAUUGCCAGAAGUUCCAGCUCCAAGAAUGGAAGGUGGUAUUGGUGAUUCAAGAAUACCUUCUUGAUCACGUGUUAAUUUAUUUAUUUUAUUGUUCCUUGGAUUCCACAAAUUUUUCAUGUUGUAAAGUUAACCCUUUUGGUUGGCAGGGUGUGGCUAUUGGAGACCAAGAUGAUUUUUCUUUAAAUUGGCUGUUUAUGAGGAUCAAUCACGUAGAUACUUUCUUAGAAGUACUCAAUCUUCAGCUGACUGGUGAUUAUGUAAAGGGAGUUUUCUGCUUUGAAGAUGAGCAACGUGAUUGGCCUCAUUGUAAAUAGUUGUAUCAGCAAAUAUUCUUCAAAUGCAGCGGUGGAAGGGACUGUGUAGGUACUUACCAAUCUAGUUAUUUGUAGAUUUAGUCGGAUAGUCUUAUAUAUUCCUAUGAGUAGGAUCAUGGUAUAUCAGUCUUUGCCUGAUCAUUUUUUUUUCUUCAAAAAAAAUUUUUCCCCAUUUUUUGUUGUUUUCAAUUCCAUUUUCCAAACUGGAAGAGCUCCCAAAUUGGAAAGCUAAAGUAAUGCAGAUUUGAUAA